UCUUCAACACCUGGCCAUGAUGGAGCGAGUUCUUGGACCAUUACCUUCAAACAUGCUGCGACUUGCAGCCCGAGAUGCUGAGAGGUAUGUUCGAAGGGGUCAUUUGAAUUGGCCCGAGGGUGCAACCUCAAGAGAGAGCAUGAAAGCUGUGUUGAAACUUCCUCGGCUGCAGAAUCUGGUGAUGCAGCACACGGAUCAUUCAGCUGGGGACCUCAUCGAUCUUUUA
Musa acuminata AAA Group (dessert banana) is the source of this 226-nucleotide long non-coding RNA. RefSeq lists it as uncharacterized. The record is from RefSeq and is a predicted model, not a curated record. Lineage: Eukaryota; Viridiplantae; Streptophyta; Magnoliopsida; Zingiberales; Musaceae. The transcript is spliced from 3 exons.